Molecule: small RNA, 58 nt
Filed under: Caenorhabditis elegans
Lineage: Eukaryota; Metazoa; Nematoda; Chromadorea; Rhabditida; Rhabditidae
Description: Unclassified non-coding RNA W01D2.7
Source: RNAcentral
GGGUUACCAAAAUUGUCAUUUGAAUCCCCCCAUAGACAUCCCUUGACCGGGGGUUUUU